This 205-nucleotide unclassified non-coding RNA is filed under the name soil metagenome. RNAcentral's name for it is "partial contains 5.8S ribosomal RNA, internal transcribed spacer 2, and large subunit ribosomal RNA". The record is from RNAcentral.
AACCUUAUGGACCUGCGGGCGUAUACCUGCGGAAGGAUCAUUACAUUCAGUAGCCUAGCUACUUGUUUACACCCUUGUUUUUUUGCGCACUUCAUUGUAUCCCUCGGCGGGCUUGCUCGCCGGUUGGACAACAUUUAUAACCUUUUUUAAUCUUCAAUCAGCGUCUGAAUUAUAUUUAAUAAUUACAACUUUCAACAAUGGAUCU